UCUCUGCUGUUGGGAGAGUUGGGGUGAUCGUUUUCUGUUCGUCUAUGUUCUGGGCUGAUAGCGGAGAUGAAGCUUUUUUUCUCUCCUUUGGCAUCAUCCGUGAGCUUAGGUGUGGCUGAAGCUAGUGUAUUUUGGUUUGUGAUAUUGUAGCUGACCAUAUGCCUCCUACAAAUCAUUGAGGGGCCCUACUAUUUCUUUUUGAAAGGAGAGGCACACUGCAAUAAUCCUUUUUGAUGCUAUUUCUUCGAGUGAAAGAAAUAAAAAAACGGAGCAUUCGCGUUUGUUAUUCACCGACCUUGAGUUCUCUCUUCUCAUCACCAUCGAACUCCAUCUCUUCACCUUCGGCUUGCUCUUCCUCUCACCGGUGGCUGAACUGGUGCGUCUUGGCAGCUAGAAGUGGCUCACUAGAAUCUGUUCUUCCUUUGCUGUCAUCUUUUCGUUAUCC
Prosopis cineraria is the source of this 445-nucleotide long non-coding RNA. RefSeq lists it as uncharacterized. The transcript has 4 exons. NCBI's taxonomy places the organism in Eukaryota, Viridiplantae, Streptophyta, Magnoliopsida, Fabales, Fabaceae. The record is from RefSeq and is a predicted model, not a curated record.